GACGAACGCUGGCGGCGUGCCUAAUACAUGCAAGUAGAACGCACAGUUUAUACCGUAGCUUGCUACACCAUAGACUGUGAGUUGCGAACGGGUGAGUAACGCGUAGGUAACCUGCCUGGUAGCGGGGGAUAACUAUUGGAAACGAUAGCUGAUACCGCAUAAUAUUGAUUAUUGCAUGAUAAUUGAUUGAAAGAUGCUAUUGCAUCACUACCAGAUGGACCUGCGUUGUAUUAGCUAGUAGGUGAGGUAACGGCUCACCUAGGCGACGAUACAUAGCCGACCCGGGAGGGUUAUCGGCCACAACGGGACUGAGACAAGGCCCAGACCCCUACGGGAGGCAGCAGUAGGGAAUCUUCGGCAAUGGACGAAAGUCUGAACGAGCAACGCCGCGGGAGUGAAGAAGGUUUUCGGAUCGUAAAGCUCUGUUGUAAGAGAAGAACGGGUGUGAGAGUGGAAAGUUCACACUGUGACGGUAUCUUACCAGAAAGGGACGGCUAACUACGUG
This 505-nucleotide ribosomal RNA is filed under the name uncultured bacterium. RNAcentral describes it as "partial 16S ribosomal RNA". It matches the Rfam family "Bacterial small subunit ribosomal RNA", at positions 28 to 507 of the family's 1533-position model. The record is from RNAcentral.